RNAcentral lists this ribosomal RNA (1074 nucleotides) under Escherichia coli. RNAcentral's name for it is "partial 23S ribosomal RNA". It matches the Rfam family "Bacterial large subunit ribosomal RNA", at positions 419 to 1497 of the family's 2925-position model. The record is from RNAcentral. Lineage: Bacteria; Pseudomonadati; Pseudomonadota; Gammaproteobacteria; Enterobacterales; Enterobacteriaceae.
GGGACACGUGGUAUCCUGUCUGAAUAUGGGGGGACCAUCCUCCAAGGCUAAAUACUCCUGACUGACCGAUAGUGAACCAGUACCGUGAGGGAAAGGCGAAAAGAACCCCGGCGAGGGGAGUGAAAAAGAACCUGAAACCGUGUACGUACAAGCAGUGGGAGCACGCUUAGGCGUGUGACUGCGUACCUUUUGUAUAAUGGGUCAGCGACUUAUAUUCUGUAGCAAGGUUAACCGAAUAGGGGAGCCGAAGGGAAACCGAGUCUUAACUGGGCGUUAAGUUGCAGGGUAUAGACCCGAAACCCGGUGAUCUAGCCAUGGGCAGGUUGAAGGUUGGGUAACACUAACUGGAGGACCGAACCGACUAAUGUUGAAAAAUUAGCGGAUGACUUGUGGCUGGGGGUGAAAGGCCAAUCAAACCGGGAGAUAGCUGGUUCUCCCCGAAAGCUAUUUAGGUAGCGCCUCGUGAAUUCAUCUCCGGGGGUAGAGCACUGUUUCGGCAAGGGGGUCAUCCCGACUUACCAACCCGAUGCAAACUGCGAAUACCGGAGAAUGUUAUCACGGGAGACACACGGCGGGUGCUAACGUCCGUCGUGAAGAGGGAAACAACCCAGACCGCCAGCUAAGGUCCCAAAGUCAUGGUUAAGUGGGAAACGAUGUGGGAAGGCCCAGACAGCCAGGAUGUUGGCUUAGAAGCAGCCAUCAUUUAAAGAAAGCGUAAUAGCUCACUGGUCGAGUCGGCCUGCGCGGAAGAUGUAACGGGGCUAAACCAUGCACCGAAGCUGCGGCAGCGACGCUUAUGCGUUGUUGGGUAGGGGAGCGUUCUGUAAGCCUGUGAAGGUGUGCUGUGAGGCAUGCUGGAGGUAUCAGAAGUGCGAAUGCUGACAUAAGUAACGAUAAAGCGGGUGAAAAGCCCGCUCGCCGGAAGACCAAGGGUUCCUGUCCAACGUUAAUCGGGGCAGGGUGAGUCGACCCCUAAGGCGAGGCCGAAAGGCGUAGUCGAUGGGAAACAGGUUAAUAUUCCUGUACUUGGUGUUACUGCGAAGGGGGGACGGAGAAGGCUAUGUUGGCCGGGCG